AUUGAACGCUGGCGGCAUGCUUUACACAUGCAAGUCGAACGGCAGCGCGGGCUUCGGCCUGGCGGCGAGUGGCGAACGGGUGAGUAAUACAUCGGAACGUGCCCAGUAGUGGGGGAUAGCUCGGCGAAAGCCGGAUUAAUACCGCAUACGACCUGAGGGUGAAAGCGGGGGAUCUUCGGACCUCGCGCUAUUGGAGCGGCCGAUGGCAGAUUAGCUAGUUGGUGGGGUAAAGGCCUACCAAGGCGACGAUCUGUAGCUGGUCUGAGAGGACGACCAGCCACACUGGGACUGAGACACGGCCCAGACUCCUACGGGAGGCAGCAGUGGGGAAUUAUGGACAAUGGGCGAAAGCCUGAUCCAGCAAUGCCGCGUGUGUGAUGAAGGCCUUCGGGUUGUAAAGCACUUUUGGCGGGAACGAAAAGGACUGUGCCAAUACCACGGUUCGAUGACGGUACCCGCAGAAUAAGCACCGGCUAACUACGUG
This 484-nucleotide ribosomal RNA is filed under the name uncultured bacterium. RNAcentral describes it as "partial 16S ribosomal RNA". It matches the Rfam family "Bacterial small subunit ribosomal RNA", at positions 29 to 507 of the family's 1533-position model. The record is from RNAcentral.